GCCUGCGUGGGCGAUCACCCGGAUAAUCUGGAAAAUGCGAGUUGGGGACAAGGCCAAGGUGGUUGUUGAACAGAAGAGAGUUCCAGGCACCAGCGACACCUCCUGGCUGCUUCUAUUCCAAUCCCAGCAGUCCUGCCCGACGCCUAAACUGGGCUGCCCAUCUCAUACCUCCCAGAACACUUGCAGCAUCUUGUUGAACACAACAAGCGUUGAUGACUACAUAUGCACUAAGCCUGGGGGCCUGGAGUUAGGCCUGGUAA
This is a long non-coding RNA of Lontra canadensis (Northern American river otter), 260 nucleotides long. RefSeq lists it as uncharacterized. The transcript is spliced from 3 exons. The record is from RefSeq and is a predicted model, not a curated record. NCBI's taxonomy places the organism in Eukaryota, Metazoa, Chordata, Mammalia, Carnivora, Mustelidae.